ACGAACGCUGGCGACGUGCUUAACACAUGCAAGUCGAACGGAAAGGCCUCUUUCGGGGGGUACUCGAGUGGCGAACGGGUGAGUAACACGUGAGUAACCUGCCCUUGACUUUGGGAUAACUUCAGGAAACUGGGGCUAAUACCGGAUAGGAGCUCCUGCUGCAUGGUGGGGGUUGGAAAGUUUCGGCGGUUGGGGAUGGACUCGCGGCUUAUCAGCUUGUUGGUGGGGUAGUGGCUUACCAAGGCUUUGACGGGUAGCCGGCCUGAGAGGGUGACCGGCCACAUUGGGACUGAGAUACGGCCCAGACUCCUACGGGAGGCAGCAGGGGGGAAUAUUGCACAAUGGGUGGAAGCCUGAUGCAGCAACGCCGUGUGCGGGAUGACGGCCUUCGGGUUGUAAACCGCUUUCGCUCAUGACGAAGCUUUGUGUGACGGUAGUGGGUAAAGAAGCACCGGCUAACUACGUG
Molecule: ribosomal RNA, 466 nt
Filed under: uncultured bacterium
Lineage: Bacteria
Description: partial 16S ribosomal RNA
Rfam family: Bacterial small subunit ribosomal RNA
Source: RNAcentral